GUCGAGAAUCUUUCACAAUGGGGGCAACCCUGAUGGAGCGACGCCGCGUGGAGGAUAAGGUCUUCGGAUUGUAAACUCCUGUCAUGCGUGAACAAGGUUGCUUGGUUAAUACCUGGGCAAAUUGAUGGUAACGCAAGUGGAAGAGACGGCUAACUCUGUGCCAGCAGCCGCGGUAAUACAGAGGUCUCAAGCGUUGUUCGGAAUCACUGGGCGUAAAGGGUGCGUAGGUGGCGUGGUAAGUCAGAUGUGAAAGCCCGGGGCUCAACCUCGGAACUGCAUCCGAUACUGCCAUGCUAGAGUACUGGUGAGGUGACUAGAAUUCUCGGUGUAGCAGUGAAAUGCGUAGAUAUCGAGAGGAAUACCAAAGGCGUAGGUAGGUCACUGGACAGUUACUGACACUGAGGCACGAAGGCCAGGGGAGCGAACGGGAUUAGAAACCCCAGUAGUCC
RNAcentral lists this ribosomal RNA (449 nucleotides) under uncultured bacterium. RNAcentral describes it as "partial 16S ribosomal RNA". It matches the Rfam family "Bacterial small subunit ribosomal RNA", at positions 354 to 796 of the family's 1533-position model. The record is from RNAcentral.